This 74-nucleotide transfer RNA is filed under the name Mesoflavibacter zeaxanthinifaciens. It matches the Rfam family "tRNA". From Rfam's summary of the family: Transfer RNA (tRNA) molecules are approximately 80 nucleotides in length. Their secondary structure includes four short double-helical elements and three loops (D, anti-codon, and T loops). Further hydrogen bonds mediate the characteristic L-shaped molecular structure. tRNAs have two regions of fundamental functional importance: the anti-codon, which is responsible for specific mRNA codon recognition, and the 3' end, to which the tRNAs corresponding amino acid is attached (by aminoacyl-tRNA synthetases). tRNAs cope with the degeneracy of the genetic code in two manners: having more than one tRNA (with a specific anti-codon) for a particular amino acid; and 'wobble' base-pairing, i.e. permitting non-standard base-pairing at the 3rd anti-codon position. Lineage: Bacteria; Pseudomonadati; Bacteroidota; Flavobacteriia; Flavobacteriales; Flavobacteriaceae. The record is from RNAcentral. RNAcentral also lists the same sequence under 2 other names.
GACACUGUGGCGCAAUUGGAUAGCGCGUUGGACUUCGAAUCCAACGGUUGCGGGUUCGAAUCCCGUCAGUGUUG